Nomascus leucogenys (northern white-cheeked gibbon) is the source of this 148-nucleotide non-coding RNA. It matches the Rfam family "Metazoan signal recognition particle RNA". Rfam says of the family: The signal recognition particle (SRP) is a universally conserved ribonucleoprotein. The record is from Rfam. Lineage: Eukaryota; Metazoa; Chordata; Mammalia; Primates; Hylobatidae.
GCCGGGAGUGGUGGUGGGCUCCUGUAAUCCCAACUACUCGGGAGGCUGAGGCAGGAGAAUCGCUUGAACCCGGGAGGCAGAAGUUGCAGUGAGCAAAGAUCGCACCAUUGCACUCCAGCCUGGGUGACAGAGCGAGACUCUGUCUCAA